This 70-nucleotide transfer RNA is filed under the name Trochus rota. RNAcentral describes it as "tRNA-Ala". It matches the Rfam family "tRNA". From Rfam's summary of the family: Transfer RNA (tRNA) molecules are approximately 80 nucleotides in length. Their secondary structure includes four short double-helical elements and three loops (D, anti-codon, and T loops). Further hydrogen bonds mediate the characteristic L-shaped molecular structure. tRNAs have two regions of fundamental functional importance: the anti-codon, which is responsible for specific mRNA codon recognition, and the 3' end, to which the tRNAs corresponding amino acid is attached (by aminoacyl-tRNA synthetases). tRNAs cope with the degeneracy of the genetic code in two manners: having more than one tRNA (with a specific anti-codon) for a particular amino acid; and 'wobble' base-pairing, i.e. permitting non-standard base-pairing at the 3rd anti-codon position. RNAcentral also lists the same sequence under 1 other name. Lineage: Eukaryota; Metazoa; Mollusca; Gastropoda; Trochida; Trochidae. The record is from RNAcentral.
GCCGUUGUACUUUAACUUUUAAAAGACCUGAUUUGCAUUCAGAAAAUGAAGCGUACCGCUUCCAACGCCA